CCAAGUGAGGGCUCGAUCUAUGAAGGUGCAAGCAGCGAACUUAACCUUGCUUGUUUCUUGNCCUACUCUGGCCCUGUGCCUCCUUAGAUGGAUUGGCGGUAGCUGCAAUGGUACCCUGUUUUACGCCGUGGUCGAUGAGUCGCAGAGCCAGGCGUUUAGCGCUGUUGUAGGUAAUAGGGUUGGAAGCUAGGACAUGCCCAUAAAUCUGGGGUGACAACCCCCAAAUGUACCUUUCAACUUUCUUUGAUUCUGGGUUGACCAUGGUAGGGCACAAUGCAGCGAGGUCGUUGAACCUAGCUGUGUAGGCGACUAGAUCAGACCCAGUCAUCUUCAGAUUCCAGAGCUCUUGCUCAAGCUUUUGCACUUCGCCCCUUGGGCAGUAUUCUUCCAGUAGUAGAACCUUCAGAUCCUCCCAACUCAUGGCGUUGGCGACAGUGAGAGUCACAGAAUUCACAUGGCUUUUCCACCAAGUGAGGGCUCGAUCUAUGAAGGUGCAAGCAGCGAACUUAACCUUGCUUGUUUCUUGGCACGAGCAGAUCUCGAAGACUGUUUCGGUCUUUUUGAACCAUUGCAUUAGUGCAAUGACUCCUCCAAUGCCAUUAAAAGUCUUUGGCUUUGAGUUGGAGAACUCCUUGUAAGUACAUUCUCUUACUUGACCAUGACCAGUGCCACGAUUGGAAUGAUUCGUGCUGCUUCCUGUACCUCCAUUUCCAUUGGAGUUUAUUUGCGAGAGAGCUGCUGUUACUGCUGCUGUGAUAGCAGCCUGGACCAUGGCCGGAUCAUACGUUGGUGGUGGAGGUGGUGGUGGUGUCGUGCCCGGUCUGGGCCUUAGGUUUGGAC
Molecule: long non-coding RNA, 840 nt
Filed under: Lactuca sativa (garden lettuce)
Lineage: Eukaryota; Viridiplantae; Streptophyta; Magnoliopsida; Asterales; Asteraceae
Description: long non-coding RNA (LSAT_LNC004320)
Source: RNAcentral